GAUGAACGCUGGCGGCGUGCCUAAUACAUGCAAGUCGAGCGAACGGACGAGGAGCUUGCUUCUCUGACGUUAGCGGCGGACGGGUGAGUAACACGUGGAUAACCUACCUAUAAGACUGGGAUAACUUCGGGAAACCGUAGCUAAUACCGGAUAAUAUUUUGAACCGCAUGGUUCAAAAGUGAAAGACGGUGUUGCUGUCACUUAUAGAUGGAUCCGCGCUGCAUUAGCUAGUUGGUAAGGUAACGGCUUACCAGGGCAACGAUGCAUAGCCGACCUGAGAGGGUGAUCGGCCACACUGGAGCUGAGACACGGUCCAGACUCCUACGGGAGGCAGCAGUAGGGAAUCUUCCGCAAUGGGCGAAAGCCUGACGGAGCAACGCCGCGUGAGUGAUGAAGGUCUUCGGAUCGUAAAACUCUGUUAUUAGGGAAGAACAUAUGUGUAGGUAACUGUGCACAUCUUGACGGUACCUAAUCAGAAAGCCACGGCUAACUACGUG
Molecule: ribosomal RNA, 497 nt
Filed under: uncultured bacterium
Lineage: Bacteria
Description: partial 16S ribosomal RNA
Rfam family: Bacterial small subunit ribosomal RNA
Source: RNAcentral